AGUCUCUAUCUGGUUCUAAAGAAGAAUUCAGCCAUACACCAAAGAAAACAUCUCUUGAGCAUUCACUGAUUUGGGUGAGAUUGCCCAAAAUGUACUAUUAGUCUUUCUCUGGUUCUAAAGAAGAGUUCAGCCAUACACCAAAGAAAACAUCGCUUUGAGCAUUCAAAUUUUGAAUUUCACCUCUCCAUUUCCCCAAAUGUUUAGCUUUUGAAUUCCACCGAGCAAAGCAAUCCAUUGACUUUCUCAUAUCUCAUUCUUCACAGUUCACGCCAACUCAACUCAUCUGGUUUUCUCUCUACGCACAACAUCAUCUGGUUCUCUCUAUUAGAGAUGAUUAGAAGCAUGAAGCUUCAAAUCUGAUAUUAGAUCGAUCAAGCAAGUUAUCCGUGGCACUCACGGAGGUGUAGACUUCACAGUCUUAGAGGUGAGUUCUUGGCACUCACCGGAGGUGUAGAUUUCACAGUCACAGAGGUAAGGGGUUAGAUUCUGAAACUGGAAGUACUGUUGGUGGAGGAAACAUGGUUGGAAGUUUUUUCUUUAUAUAGUUCUACCCCAUAUGGCCAGCUAAAAGCUAUCAUCGUUGGUCAGAGGAAGGGGUGACUCAAGUUCAGAUGCGAGUUCAGAGAGUAGUGAGAGUGCCGCUGAAGAUAAUUUGUUAUUCUUUCACCAGUUGGAUUUGGCAACGCCAGCACAGGUUCGGACACGGGAAUCGCUUGUUGACCAUGAUGGAAUUAUGGGUUUCGCAUAGCCUCUUGGGAAGAUGGAUUAAAUCCCAAUUUGAAUUUGAAGCCUAUAUGCCAAGCUUUUGCUGAAGAAAAGAAAAGUUAACGUUUAAAGUUUGUUUGGUCAAGAAUAUAGAUCAAGAAUUCCUGUCCAACUCUACCUAACCUAAAGAUGUUUAUUAUUAUUUAUUUAUAUUUAUUAUUAUUAUUAUUAUUAUUAUUA
This is a long non-coding RNA of Helianthus annuus (common sunflower), 945 nucleotides long. RefSeq lists it as uncharacterized. The transcript is spliced from 5 exons. The record is from RefSeq and is a predicted model, not a curated record. NCBI's taxonomy places the organism in Eukaryota, Viridiplantae, Streptophyta, Magnoliopsida, Asterales, Asteraceae.